RNAcentral lists this ribosomal RNA (622 nucleotides) under Pseudovibrio sp. MR05-03. RNAcentral describes it as "partial 16S ribosomal RNA". It matches the Rfam family "Bacterial small subunit ribosomal RNA", at positions 135 to 790 of the family's 1533-position model. The record is from RNAcentral. Lineage: Bacteria; Pseudomonadati; Pseudomonadota; Alphaproteobacteria; Hyphomicrobiales; Stappiaceae.
GGUAGGGGACAACAGUUGGAAACGACUGCNNNNANCCUAUGAGCCCUAUGGGGGAAAGAUUUAUCGCCAUGAGAUGUGCCCGCGUUAGAUUAGCUAGUUGGUAAGGUAAUGGCUUACCAAGGCGACGAUCUAUAGCUGGUCUGAGAGGAUGAUCAGCCACACUGGGACUGAGACACGGCCCAGACUCCUACGGGAGGCAGCAGUGGGGAAUAUUGGACAAUGGGGGCAACCCUGAUCCAGCCAUGCCGCGUGUGUGAUGACGGCCUUAGGGUUGUAAAGCACUUUCAGCAGUGAAGAUAAUGACAUUAACUGCAGAAGAAGCCCCGGCUAACUUCGUGCCAGCAGCCGCGGUAAUACGAAGGGGGNNAGCGUUGUUCGGAAUCACUGGGCGUAANGAGUACGUAGGCGGACUGAUAAGUUAGGGGUGAAAUCCCAAGGCUCAACCUUGGAACUGCCUUUGAUACUGUCNGUCUUGAGAUCGAGAGAGGUGAGUGGAACUCCGAGUGUAGAGGUGAAAUUCGUANAUAUUCGGAAGAACNCCAGUGNCGAAGGCGGCUCACUGGCUCGAUACUGACGCUGAGGUACGAAAGCGUGGGGAGCAAACAGGANUNANAUACCCUGG